RNAcentral lists this transfer RNA (61 nucleotides) under Cardiocondyla atalanta. Its description in RNAcentral is "tRNA-Leu". The record is from RNAcentral. Lineage: Eukaryota; Metazoa; Arthropoda; Insecta; Hymenoptera; Formicidae.
UAUGGCAGACAAGUGCAAAGGAUUUAAAAUCCUUAAAUAAAGAAUACUACUUUUAUUAAAA